CAGAACGCGUCCGUUCGUCAUUCCGCGUUUUAGCAGAUGCUUCCGCGCGAUAACGCCCACGUUCGUCGGUGCAUCGGCGAAAUCGUUGGGUGCAAUCGUGUGUGCACCGGUAGACCGAGCAGACGUCUCGAGGCGCGUUGGAAACGGGUUUCCAUCCGACGUGCAACGCAGAAAGAGAAUCGCACGGAGACCUUCCAUCGGAAGGGAGAAAGAAAGGUGGACGUGCACGGCGUGCGCAACAGUCGAUGGUCGACCGAUAAGAUAAAGGAUGGUACAAUCGAUAGCGAUUAAACCUCGAGAGGCUCGUAUCGGACACGAGAUGAUUGAAAAUGUGCGUAUCAGUCGUUAACGAUACAUUUCGUUUGGAGUAGCGUUAUUAGCCCGGCUUUCACGACUCUCCGAGCGCACCGUGGUACAUUGUCUUCCGUUUCACGUUUCAGGGAACGCACGUCGCAGCCGACGGAGGCAAUUUCGGUUUCGACCGUGUCACGGAACCUGGCCUUUAAAUUUCGGGAUAAGAUUCCUCGCGGAAUAUGAAUGUCUUUUGUCUGACUGUGGGAAUCCUCGAUGCGGUGUCAGUCGCCCCGGGUAAUUUACGGAAAUACUCGCGGGAAACCCAGCUACCGAGAUCUAACUGUAUUCAGUCUCGGUACGACGAUGACGAAGGUUUUUGCGACGCGUCCAACUGUGCGCAGUGGGAAGCACGAAUGCGAAUUCAUUUAUUUCGUUGCGCAAAGAAAUUAACACUUCGACGACCGCUUCUUUUAGUCAUCCUCGAUUUUUACAGCCGCGAUUCACUGCGCGGGAUCCGAGUCGAACAAAGUACCUUCUCUGGCGAGGGCGUAUCGCGUCCACAAAAAAGAAAAAAAAAGAGAGAGA
Molecule: long non-coding RNA, 879 nt
Organism: Hylaeus anthracinus
Lineage: Eukaryota; Metazoa; Arthropoda; Insecta; Hymenoptera; Colletidae
Exons: 2
Source: RefSeq, a predicted model, not a curated record